AUAAAAUUAAAGUCGAUGGCCAAAUUGAUACAUCUAAAUCUGGUAAAUAUCAAAUUAAAUAUCAUGUCACUGAUUCAGAUGGUGCAAUUAAAAUUUCCACUAGGUAUAUUGAGGUUAAAUAGCCCUCAUCACUAUACUGCAAAUAAAAUGGUAGCAAACGAACAUGUUUUGCUACCAUUUUAUUUGUUAUUCUAACUUCAUCUGCAACUUUAACCCAAAUAUUGUAUUUUUUCUGUAUACCAAAG
Molecule: small RNA, 245 nt
Filed under: Staphylococcus aureus
Lineage: Bacteria; Bacillati; Bacillota; Bacilli; Caryophanales; Staphylococcaceae
Description: HMPRFS0000_1103
Source: RNAcentral